CCCGCCCCUCGCCUGCCGCCCGCCGGAGUCUCCGCUGCAGCCACCGCAGGAGGCCCAGGGCCCGGGCCACGCGCAGGAACCGCCGCUUGAGGAUCUGGCUGCCCGCGGGCGCCCACAGCCCUGGGCUGCGCACCUCACUGCUUCUGCCCUGACGGGGGCUUCGGGCUCAAUCUACCGCCAGCGUCUCCCGCCUUCUGCGCAGGCAUCAAUAAUGCAGGCGGCCCCGGUUCCUGAUCCCCUCGGCCAACAAUGGAGCGGAGGCCGCCCAGGAAAGAGGAGACGCUGCAGCUGCGGACAAAGGCCGUGGACAGGGCAACCGUGCCGCUCGGGAGUCGCUGCCAGCCCGGGCCGCCCUGGCACCGCGCCAAACGGGGCCACGCUCUGCUCCCGCCGCACUGCUUGCCCAGCAGUGGGUGAGGGGGCGCUGAGAGAACCUGUCUGGGCUGUUCUCCUCCUGGGGGCUCUAGGGGGCACCCUCCCUCCUCACUUAGCCCCUGGGUUGCCCCAGGAGGCUGGCACCCGGCUGACCUGGGUCCACAGCAAGCUCUCCGUGAGCUUUGUUAGUCCUUGUUGUUGAUCUUUUAGGUUGUGAAAUAUAAUUUAAAGAAAACUGCAUAAAACCUACGUGUUCACCUUGAACUGAUGUGAGACAAAUGCCCUGGACCCUCUUUGAGUCGUGGAAAAUAACCAGACCCCAUAAAUCCCUGAUUGCUCCAUG
This is a long non-coding RNA of Equus quagga, 718 nucleotides long. RefSeq lists it as uncharacterized. The transcript is spliced from 2 exons. Lineage: Eukaryota; Metazoa; Chordata; Mammalia; Perissodactyla; Equidae. The record is from RefSeq and is a predicted model, not a curated record.